GGACUUCUCAAGCUCCAGGGCUGGAUGCUUGGCCCCAACCCAGCUCCCAUGGCAGGGGUCCUCCAAAAGGAAAGACCCAAGAUACUGCAGCCAAAAAGUCUCAUGACUCAGAUGAAUUCCUGAGACAAACACAGAAGGAAGCACCCGGAGGACAAGUGAUGGACCAAAAGGCUUUUCAGGAGGAGGAACACUCAGGGAGAAGCAGUGGCUCAUUGGCAGCCCCUGCUGUGGGAAGGAAGGCGAUGCCAGACACGGGCACAGGCACAGCAGAUGCAGCCGGCACCACAAGACCUGUUACCGAUGCCCAGGAUGGCCUCGGAAGGGGUUUCUGUCAGGGAACAGUCUGCUGGCUAGGGUUACUGGGAGGCGUGCUUUCUUUGGAGCUUGUCUUCAUGUUGGGCUGCUUUGGAAUCGGGUAUUCCUGGAAUAGAAAACAGAGCGCCUUGGGACAGGAGUUGGAAGACAGUGGCUGCACCUCACACCGACAGCGUGAGCAGCUUCUCCAGCAGCAGUAACGGCCUGGACAGCCCUCUCAAGUGUUCUGUGAAGAGGACCCCAGAACAACCGUCGACAAG
Long non-coding RNA from Passer domesticus (house sparrow), 575 nucleotides. RefSeq lists it as uncharacterized. The transcript has 5 exons. The record is from RefSeq and is a predicted model, not a curated record. Lineage: Eukaryota; Metazoa; Chordata; Aves; Passeriformes; Passeridae.